RNAcentral lists this ribosomal RNA (119 nucleotides) under Pteropus alecto (black flying fox). Lineage: Eukaryota; Metazoa; Chordata; Mammalia; Chiroptera; Pteropodidae. The record is from RNAcentral.
AUCUACGGCCAUGCCACCCUGAACAAGCCCAAUCCUGUCUGAUCUCGGAAGCUAAGCAGGGUUGGACCUGGUUAGUACUUGGAUGGGAGACCACCUAGGAAGACCAGGUGCUGUAGGUG